Molecule: ribosomal RNA, 497 nt
Filed under: uncultured bacterium
Lineage: Bacteria
Description: partial 16S ribosomal RNA
Rfam family: Bacterial small subunit ribosomal RNA
Source: RNAcentral
GACGAACGCUGGCGGCGUGCCUAAUACAUGCAAGUAGAACGCUGAAGCUUGGUGCUUGCACCGAGCGGAUGAGUUGCGAACGGGUGAGUAACGCGUAGGUAACCUGCCUGGUAGCGGGGGAUAACUAUUGGAAACGAUAGCUAAUACCGCAUAACAGUAGAUAUCGCAUGAUAGCUACUUGAAAGGUGCAAAUGCACCACUACCAGAUGGACCUGCGUUGUAUUAGCUAGUUGGUGAGGUAACGGCUCACCAAGGCAACGAUACAUAGCCGACCUGAGAGGGUGGUCGGCCACACUGGGACUGAGACACGGCCCAGACUCCUACGGGAGGCAGCAGUAGGGAAUCUUCGGCAAUGGACGGAAGUCUGACCGAGCAACGCCGCGUGAGUGAAGAAGGUUUUCGGAUCGUAAAGCUCUGUUGUAAGAGAAGAACGAGUGUGAGAGUGGAAAGUUCACACUGUGACGGUAUCUUACCAGAAAGGGACGGCUAACUACGUG